This is a long non-coding RNA of Mesocricetus auratus (golden hamster), 1959 nucleotides long. RefSeq lists it as uncharacterized. The transcript has 7 exons. NCBI's taxonomy places the organism in Eukaryota, Metazoa, Chordata, Mammalia, Rodentia, Cricetidae. The record is from RefSeq and is a predicted model, not a curated record.
AGAGCUAAAGAUAGAAUUGAGGGCAGCGUUUUAAGGCAGCAGCAGCAGCAGACCUAUCUGGCCAAGUGGGGAUGGGGGAGCUAAGCCAAAGCUGCAGAGCAUGGGCCGGGGAAUGAGAAGACCUCCUCGGAGCAGUCACGGUGUCCCCUCUGCAACCAGCCAUUCCCAGCAGAGGCAACAGCGGUUCCUUCUGUGGACAGAGACCUGAGCGGGGCUGACAAGGAAAAGCCCACAUCGUCAGCUUUGCGGUGCCCUCAGGCCAGUGUUCACAGGCUCCCACAGCGCCAGGGAAGGCUAGAAGAUGAGACCCAGAGCCGGAGGAGUCAGGCCGUCUGCUGGGAGCCUGCAAGGCUCAGACCUGUGGGGUCGGGGAGGGUGGUUAACAGAACCCGGAUGUUGCCUGUAGUCCUUGAGGCUGCGUGGGGUCACCAUCAGACCAUACCCAUCCCGAUUCCCUGCCCAUCUCUGGGCUACCUGUUUCUCUUCACCGCUCCUGGGAUGGGCUAGCCAGUACCAGCACAUCGAGGUGAGCUGCCACGCUGUGAGUGGUGUGAGCUGGGAAAAUGAGCUUUGGCUCUCCAUCUCCAGGAACGCAGAGGACCAAAAGCAGCUUCCUUGUCUGCCUGGGUCUGGUUGGACUCUGAAUCCAGCUGAUCUACAGGAGGAAGGUCAUGCGUUCCCAGGGAGGUCGAGUCACGUUGCUCCAGGGUUUAUGGUUUAUCCCUGCAGAUAGCUGAAGUCCCCCCUGCCAGAUAUGCUUUCUAAUCAAAGGGUUUGGUGAGAGCCCUCAAAGAGCAGCAGGCUGGAGAGCCGGAGGAAGUCCGUCUACCCAGAACUCACUCUCUUGCCCCCACACUGCUCAACAUGGAAGAACACUCCAAGAACCUGCUUUCCAGUGAUCAAUGGGGGAGGGCCCAGCUGGAUUCUGUAAGAAGCUGGGCUGAGUGAGCCGUGUAAAGCAAGCCAGUAAGUAGCACUCCUCCACAGCCUCUUCAUCAACUCCUGCCUCCAGGAUCCUGCCCUGUUUGAGUUCCUGUCCUGACUUCCUUCUGAGAUGAACAACAAUGCUGAAGUGGCUCUAGGUGAUACUGGCCCCGUGGCAGUGAAUGAAGACUCUGAAUGUGUCCCUUGACACUGAACAGCACAGGCCUCGGAGGCGCAGACCAGAGUCCCUCCUCCUUCACUCCACCCUCCUCCACAGAGUUAGAUUCACCUUGUGCCUUGUGCCAUGCUGGGACCAUCUGAGACCUACAGGUGGUAGCGUCUACUUCCUCUCGUUCUGUGUGGGCACAGAUGAGCCUAAGACUCAGAGAGGCCUGGAGGCCCUAUCAGGACAUCAGCACCACGGACAGCAACACAGCCUCUGGGAAGCUGCCAAAGGAAUUCACUAAUGCGUCGGACUAUUUUUCCUACCUAUAGAGACUCUUACACAAGGAAGCUUGCCUGGGAAAUGCAACCGAUUGUUUUCUAAUAGUAAAACACAAGGUUUAGGGUGGGGGUGGGGGACAGUUAAUGUGGCCUGAGUAGAGGAAAUAAAUGUGUUUCUUAUCUUUUUCCACCAGCUGGUUCCAGGCUCUUCUCCUUUGACAUUAUUAAAAGCCUGGCAGGUACUUUGAAUGUUUGUUUCCAUCAAGUUUCCUUGCCACUUUAAUCUGCAAAUACUCCCGGCUAAUUUCCUUUCCUGAGUGUUGUAUGUUGCCUAGCCACUAAAUUUUCCCAGCCUCGCCUGCCCAGCAACCAGGUAAAUGGAUAAGAUAUGUUAUGAGUGGGCAGGACAUUCCCAAUGGACUCCUGUCUGCUCUAGUCAUUUUAAAAAGAGACAUGCUCAGGUCAUGAGUGGGUCCUGGAGGAGAAGAGAAAGGCACAGCAAAGCCAAGUGAAGUCAUGCCUAUCCUCAAAGAGACUGAGCCUUCCACAGGAUGGGAAGGGACAGCAAAACAAAAUAAAAAAGAAGGAGAU